GAGAAUGGCUAGAAUCCUAUAGAAGUAAUGAAGUAUGUGAAUCAUCAGAUCCAGAAAGUAUAAUGUGUCCAGGAUAAAGUAGUAUAUUUCUUUUAAAAAUACAUUAUUUAAUAAUGAUGGAAAAACACUGAAAUAGCUGCUUCUUUAUACCUCUGCAUAGCUCUACAUAUAUAAUGUUGUCCUGUGGUUAGAUGUAUUGUAGGAAUCAGCUCUUUGAAACUGGCACUGUUGUGGCUUAGUAUCAAGUGAGUGCUGAGUAAAUGAAUGAAUGGCAAUGGAUAAAUGUUAUCUAGGACAAAUAGUUUAAACCAAUCCAUAGUGAAGUCAAAUACUUUUCUAACAUAUUCUUUUUUAAUUUUUCAGGUGCACUUGUUUCACAAAAUUCUAAGGGGAUGUCAUAAGAGAAAUGAAAUGAAGAUGGAAACAGUGAUUUCUGCUUGUGAUGGGCUCACUUAGCAAAGAAUAUAGUUUUUGUGCUGGAGAAUGCCAACGCUUUUAAUGGUUUUCGGAUUUCAGCAGUUAAAUCCUUAUACUGUCUUUCUCAGAUCUGAUACUCACAGACACUUAAGUGUAUUUAAGCAUGUACCUGAGUAUCAUUUAUAAUCCUGUUACUAACUAAAGUUAAAGCACUUUAGGAGGGAAUACUAAACAUCUCUGCAGAGAAUGGUAGAAUAGUACAGUCCUUUCUAAAACUGUGCUGAUGGGGAGCCUGUUUCCUAUUCAGCUCAAAUGCCAGGCAGUAUGGCUGCUUCCUCUGUUCCCAUGGAAACCGCAGCCUUGCUGAAGUUCAAGUUAAUUUCUUACUGCCAUCUGCCUGUUGAGCUACAGGGCUUUCUCUAGCUAAUAUCAUGCAGAGGCCUGUUAGGAGAAUGAAGUUUACUUAGGAACUCCCUGGGCUGUUCCAACAGGAGGUCAAGAUUGAAAACAGAUCCAGCUGAACCUCCGUGCAGCGUUCGCUAAAGGAUGAAAGGAGUUAAAAUAUACUGUAUGAGGUUUUAUUUUAAAAUUAACCUAUGUUUAAUACCAAUUGACUAGAUGGGACAUUAAAGAGUUCACUUUACAUUGGACCAAGUUUGUGUCAUGAUUUUUCAUCCCUUUAAACUCUAAAAUUGCCACAUUCCUAUGUGUUUCUUAAAAAUGUUGAUGAUAUCUCAAAUCAAAGGUUACAGACUGGUGACCAGUGAUUCAGCUCUGGCCUGCAGACAUGGUUUUUUGGCC
This 1218-nucleotide long non-coding RNA is filed under the name Bos indicus x Bos taurus (hybrid cattle). RNAcentral's name for it is "lncRNA (ENSBIXG00005001363.1)". The record is from RNAcentral. Lineage: Eukaryota; Metazoa; Chordata; Mammalia; Artiodactyla; Bovidae.